Long non-coding RNA from Oncorhynchus masou masou (cherry salmon), 490 nucleotides. RefSeq lists it as uncharacterized. The record is from RefSeq and is a predicted model, not a curated record. NCBI's taxonomy places the organism in Eukaryota, Metazoa, Chordata, Actinopteri, Salmoniformes, Salmonidae. The transcript has 3 exons.
GUUCCGGCAGCAACCACCACCACCGCUGUUCCGGGAGCAACCACCACCACCGCUGUUCCGGUAGCAACCACCACCACCGCUGUUCCGGUAGCAACCACCACCACCGCUGUUCCGGUAGCAACCACCACCACCGCUGUUCCGGCAGCAACCACCACCACUGCUGUUCUGGCAGCAACCACCAUCACCACUGUUCCGGCAGCAGCCACCACCGCUGCAGUCGCACUAACUAACCCUCCAUCUUCUAGUGAAGGAACCCUGAUUCUUCGGUUCAGUCUCAAUGAGAAAUUCACCUCGGAUCUUGCCAACCCGUCUUCUUCAGCAUUCAAGGCUCUGGCUGGCAAAGUGGUCUCAGAGGUGAACAAGAUUUUUGCUAAAACCCCAACUUCCUUCGUUCCAUUGUCAACUCAUUCAAGAGUGGAUCUGUAGUUACCAACAUGACCCUCAUGUUCAGUAACAAAUCUUCGGUUCCAAGCGCAUGCAGCGCACAGGC